RNAcentral lists this transfer RNA (70 nucleotides) under Marmota monax (woodchuck). RNAcentral's name for it is "tRNA.Val". The stretch from base 3 to 63 matches the Rfam family "tRNA", at positions 6 to 65 of the family's 71-position model. Rfam says of the family: Transfer RNA (tRNA) molecules are approximately 80 nucleotides in length. Their secondary structure includes four short double-helical elements and three loops (D, anti-codon, and T loops). Further hydrogen bonds mediate the characteristic L-shaped molecular structure. tRNAs have two regions of fundamental functional importance: the anti-codon, which is responsible for specific mRNA codon recognition, and the 3' end, to which the tRNAs corresponding amino acid is attached (by aminoacyl-tRNA synthetases). tRNAs cope with the degeneracy of the genetic code in two manners: having more than one tRNA (with a specific anti-codon) for a particular amino acid; and 'wobble' base-pairing, i.e. permitting non-standard base-pairing at the 3rd anti-codon position. The record is from RNAcentral. Lineage: Eukaryota; Metazoa; Chordata; Mammalia; Rodentia; Sciuridae.
GUUGUAGUUCAGUGGUAGAGUGCUUGCCUCACACGCAUGAGACCCUGGGUCCAAUCCCCAGCACAUAACA